RNAcentral lists this ribosomal RNA (91 nucleotides) under uncultured bacterium. RNAcentral's name for it is "partial 16S ribosomal RNA". The record is from RNAcentral.
UAUCGUAAAACUCUGUUGUUAGGGAAGAACAAGUACCGGAGUAACUGCCGGUACCUUGACGGUACCUAACCAGAAAGCCACGGCUAACUAC